Molecule: ribosomal RNA, 253 nt
Filed under: uncultured bacterium
Lineage: Bacteria
Description: partial 16S ribosomal RNA
Rfam family: Bacterial small subunit ribosomal RNA
Source: RNAcentral
GACGAACCGAGCGAACGUUGUUCGGAAUCACUGGGCUUAAAGGGCGCGUAGGCGGGUGCUCAAGUCCGGGGUGAAAUCCUCCAGCUCAACUGGAGAACUGCCUCGGAUACUGGGUGCCUCGAGGGUGGUAGGGGUAUGCGGAACUAUCGGUGGAGCGGUGAAAUGCGUUGAUAUCGAUAGGAACUCCGGUGGCGAAGGCGGCAUACUGGACCACAUCUGACGCUGAGGCGCGAAAGCAUGGGGAGCGAACAGG